UUCUUCUUCUUCUUCUUCUUCACUCCGAAUUCUCGUGUGGAGGAAUUAAAUGUGACAAUCAUUUAUGAUAUUUUGACAGGACCAAAUUGAAGCAGAUAGAGGUGGAUUUAAAAAGGUGUUGUGAGACACUGAGAGAAGAGAAUAGGAGGUUGCAAAAAGAGCUUCAGGGAUUAAGGCGUCUCAGCCAUUUUACCUGCAGCUUCCGGCCACCACCCUCCAACCAUUUUUCAUGCUUCUUCCCAGAAGACACCUUCUUGAUCAUAGCAUCGCAUCUCUCUUGCCUAUCGCUCAUUCCUGCCUUCUACAUCAGCAACUGCAACACUGAAGUCUGCCACUCUGCCUCCGUGGCUCCUCCAUGGGGCAUAUCGCUCAUUGUGUAAUUUUUCCUAAAAUAAGUUAGAGAAGUAUGAAAUGGUAAAUGAAUGUGAUUUGGUAUUUAUAAAUUGUCAAUCCGGAUGUUUUGUUUGUAGCAGUUUGUUACCACUUUUUAGUAGUGGGUUGCUGCAGUUAUUUGCUAAUUGGCGUGGGUUGUUCAUUCAAGAAACAUGGUGGUUAUGGAAUGCAGAAGGGAUAAAAAUACGAUGGAAACUUGGUAUAAUGCGGCGUGGAAAAACUGAAUAAGAAAGAGAAGAUUUAGCGGUGUAAUAGAUAUAUAGAUUUGCCCUUUGUAUGUUAUUUUAUUUUCUAAAUUGCCACAAACUGUGUUUUCAUAUAAUAUAUAGAUUAUAAUUUCCACAUAAUUUUGUAAAGAGAAAAUGUAUACUACUACUAUUUUAGAACCAAAGUAUUAACGGAUUUCAAUUAUAGGCUACACUUUGACUAUUUACAAAAAUGAAUCUCAUAAAUUACACUUGAAACAAAUCAAGAUUCGACUUAACGUUAUUUCUCACCUUAUAUCUUGAAAAAAUAAAUACAAAGGAUGUGUAGAAAAACCUCUACAGCUUAAAUAAUCAGAAAUAACUUUUUACACGCUAUUUAUAUUUUUUCAAAAAUUAAAAUUAAUAGAAAUAUAAAGUCAAUUUAAAUUUCAACCGAGAUAGAUUUAUAAGAUUCAUUUUCGUAAAUACUCGAAGUAUGUAGUUUAGAAUUCGAAAUACGAGGAUAUUUUGGAUUCCAAAUUAUAUUUUUCUCCCCUCUUAAAAUGUUGCGAACUUGCGAUUAUAAAAAAGGUCUUUAUAGCCAUAAACUCAUGUGUUUGUCUAUUUUUUUUCAUUUUUUAGAUUUUCUAGACCCAACAACUAUUCUUGAGUUCAAUAACCCAAUUAAUGAACUGAUUAGAAUAAAGUAUAUUUAAAGUAUUUCCACUAAUUAAAUCUACUCAAAUGUUCUUAUAUUUAAUCUAUUUCUCAUUAGAGAUAUCGAAAAAAUGUCAACAAUUUUCCACGCGUCCAAAAUAUGGACUUGCAAAAGAUUUAAAAAUUACGAAAUACAUAGAUGAUUCUCUAACUAUUUUCCAGUAAUGCACAUUGUCUUUUUCCCAUUAAUUGCUCUUUCAUUCCCUCUUCUUCAACUUCGUGUCCUUCGUGCUAGUAAACAUUAAUAAGAAAAGAAGCAAACUAAAGAGAAAAGAUGAAAGUGUAUGAGAAGCUUAGUAAAAAUAAGAAUAGAAUACCUGUGGUUACAAAAUUAAAUAUAGGUUGUUAGCAAAAAGUUUUCUAUUAGAGAAAAAAUAGAAGGAAAGAAUUUGAAUUAGCCGAAAAAAGCACCUGAAUCGAAAAGAGUGACCAAAUAUUUUAUAUUAAAAAAUAGAUAUAUACAUAUACAAAUAGUUGAUAAGUUUUGUAAAUUUUGGAGAGUAAAUAUAUACAUGAAAUAGAUACAUACACAAAGCUUCUAGACUCAAAAGCAGCAUACAUCCUCAAUCGUGUCUCUAAAAAACUAAGAAAAACAUGAAAUUACCAAACAUUCGAUUAAGAAAAUAAUAUCAAGCGAAUCAGAUCAUGAUAGCAAGACAACCUUAAAAAUUAUAGCAAAUUAUUUGUACGUAUAAAUUAUAUAAAUUACAGAAGAAACAUUUAUAUAUCAGCAAACUCUUUUAUUUUCUGAAAGUUGGUACAUCAACGGUUAACUAAUUAAAAUAAAUCGCAAGAAGAAGCAUUUAACACUAAGAUUAUCUAAAAUAUUUAAUUCAAGUGAGUCACAAGAAGCAUUAUUACAUCUCAGCAAGAUUAUACAAAUAAAUCACUAAAAUUAAUUGUAAACUACCAUCAGCCAAGUAAUGAAAUACAAAAGUAGACACAAAAUCCACGAUCGACUAUAUAUUAAAAUAUUUUAAAUCGGUAGUCAUUGAAUAAAAUUAUAUGCAUAUAAAAAAAAGAAUAAAACAAAAUAGACUUAUUUAAUAAAGAUUUAUCACAAUAGAGUUUUUCUACCUACUGUUGGAAAAGGUGUCUCUCCAAAAUUCCGCUUCACUGCCGCAUCAAUAUUUACUUUUUUAAAAGAAAAUUCUAUUACUGAAAUAAUUUUAUUGAAUAUUUUUAAAAAUAAGUAAUAAUAAGGAUUAAAUAGAGUAAUUAUAUAUAAGUUAUAUUUUAAUAUUUAUGUAAAAUAUUAAAAAGUAUUUUAAUGAAACAAAAAUAAUAUUAUAUACGAAGAAAAAUUUAUUUAAUACACACCUCAUGUAAAAGAAGGUGAUAUGGAUAGAUCGACUAUACUUUAUUAAAGUCUAUAUAAAAAAUAGAUAGAUGGGCAUUAUUAUAGAAAAUAAAAUUGUUGGGCGUGAAUCUCUUGAUUAUGAUGAAAAAUUAAAAUGGCCGAAUUAAAUAAUUCGAGCUGAUAUAAUAAAUUAUAAAAUAAAAUUAUUUGCUAAAGAAUUAAUUUGGACCAAAAAGAAAGAAUACAACCAUAAACGAUAAACUCAACAAUUAAAAAAAAAGGAAUAAUUAAAUAAUCUAACAAUUAAUUUAAGUAUAAACUAUGUAUAACAAUAAGAAAGAAUCCCUAAUCUAAAUCCAUCUAUACGCCCAAAUUUUAGGCGGCACCCCCUUCUUCUUCUUCUUCUUCUUCACUCCGAAUUCUCGUGUGGAGGAAUUAAAUGUGACAAUCAUUUAUGAUAUUUUGACAGGACCAAAUUGAAGCAGAUAGAGGUGGAUUUAAAAAGGUGUUGUGAGACACUGAGAGAAGAGAAUAGGAGGUUGCAAAAAGAGCUUCAGGGAUUAAGGCGUCUCAGCCAUUUUACCUGCAGCUUCCGGCCACCACCCUCCAACCAUUUUUCAUGCUUCUUCCCAGAAGACACCUUCUUGAUCAUAGCAUCGCAUCUCUCUUGCCUAUCGCUCAUUCCUGCCUUCUACAUCAGCAACUGCAACACUGAAGUCUGCCACUCUGCCUCCGUGGCUCCUCCAUGGGGCAUAUCGCUCAUUGUGUAAUUUUUCCUAAAAUAAGUUAGAGAAGUAUGAAAUGGUAAAUGAAUGUGAUUUGGUAUUUAUAAAUUGUCAAUCCGGAUGUUUUGUUUGUAGCAGUUUGUUACCACUUUUUAGUAGUGGGUUGCUGCAGUUAUUUGCUAAUUGGCGUGGGUUGUUCAUUCAAGAAACAUGGUGGUUAUGGAAUGCAGAAGGGAUAAAAAUACGAUGGAAACUUGGUAUAAUGCGGCGUGGAAAAACUGAAUAAGAAAGAGAAGAUUUAGCGGUGUAAUAGAUAUAUAGAUUUGCCCUUUGUAUGUUAUUUUAUUUUCUAAAUUGCCACAAACUGUGUUUUCAUAUAAUAGAUAGAUU
RNAcentral lists this long non-coding RNA (3710 nucleotides) under Salvia miltiorrhiza (redroot sage). Its description in RNAcentral is "long non-coding RNA (SMIL_LNC010351)". The record is from RNAcentral. Lineage: Eukaryota; Viridiplantae; Streptophyta; Magnoliopsida; Lamiales; Lamiaceae.